GAUGAACGCUGGCGGCGUGCCUAAUACAUGCAAGUCGAGCGAACGGACGAGAAGCUUGCUUCUCUGAUGUUAGCGGCGGACGGGUGAGUAACACGUGGAUAACCUACCUAUAAGACUGGGAUAACUUCGGGAAACCGUAGCUAAUACCGGAUAAUAUUUUGAACCGCAUGGUUCAAAAGUGAAAGACGGUCUUGCUGUCACUUAUAGAUGGAUCCGCGCUGCAUUAGCUAGUUGGUAAGGUAACGGCUUACCAAGGCAACGAUGCAUAGCCGACCUGAGAGGGGGAUCGGCCACACUGGAACUGAGACACGGUCCAGAAUCCUAAGGGAGGCAGCAGUAGGGAAUCUUCCGGAAUGGGCGAAAGCCUGACGGAGCAACGCCGCGUGAGUGAUGAAGGUCUUCGGAUCGUAAAACUCUGUUAUUAGGGAAGAACAUAUGUGUAAGUAACUGUGCACAUCUUGACGGUACCUAAUCAGAAAGCCACGGCUAACUACGU
RNAcentral lists this ribosomal RNA (496 nucleotides) under uncultured bacterium. RNAcentral describes it as "partial 16S ribosomal RNA". It matches the Rfam family "Bacterial small subunit ribosomal RNA", at positions 28 to 506 of the family's 1533-position model. The record is from RNAcentral.